AUUGAACGCUGGCGGCAUGCCUUACACAUGCAAAUCGAAUGGUAACGGGCCUUCGGGUGCCGACGAGUGGCGAACGGGUGAGUAAUACAUCGGAACGUGCCCGAUCGUGGGGGAUAACGAGGCGAAAGCUUUGCUAAUACCGCAUACGAUCUACGGAUGAAAGCAGGGGACCGCAAGGCCUUGCGCGGACGGAGCGGCCGAUGGCAGAUUAGGUAGUUGGUGGGAUAAAAGCUUACCAAGCCGACGAUCUGUAGCUGGUCUGAGAGGAUGAUCAGCCACACUGGGACUGAGACACGGCCCAGACUCCUACGGGAGGCAGCAGUGGGGAAUUUUGGACAAAGGGCGCAAGCCUGAUCCAGCCAUGCCGCGUGCAGGAUGAAGGCCUUCGGGUUGUAAACUGAUUUUGUACGGAACGAAAAGCCUUCUUUUAAUACAGGAGGGUCAUGACGGUACCGUAAGAAUAAGCACCGGCUAACUACGUG
Molecule: ribosomal RNA, 482 nt
Filed under: uncultured bacterium
Lineage: Bacteria
Description: partial 16S ribosomal RNA
Rfam family: Bacterial small subunit ribosomal RNA
Source: RNAcentral